GUAGGUGGCAAGCGUUGUCCGGAAUUAUUGGGCGUAAAGCGCGCGCAGGUGGUUCUUUAAGUCUGAUGUGAAAGCCCCCGGGCUCAACCGGGGAGGGUCAUUGGAAACUGGGGAACUUGAGUGCAGGAGAGGAAAGUGGAAUUCCACGUGUAGCGGUGAAAUGCGUAGAUAUGUGGAGGAACACCAGUGGCGAAGGCGACUUUCUGGCCUGUAACUGACACUGAGGCGCGAAAGCGUGGGGAGCAAACAGGAUUAGAUACCCUGGUAGUCCACGCCGUAAACGAUGAGUGCUGAGUGUUGGGGGGUUUCCGCCCCUCAGUGCUGCAGCUAACGCAUUAAGCACUCCGCCUGGGGAGUACGGUCGCAAGACUG
RNAcentral lists this ribosomal RNA (372 nucleotides) under uncultured organism. Its description in RNAcentral is "partial 16S ribosomal RNA". It matches the Rfam family "Bacterial small subunit ribosomal RNA", at positions 527 to 896 of the family's 1533-position model. The record is from RNAcentral.